GACGAACGCUGGCGGCGUGCUUAACACAUGCAAGUCGAACGGAAAGGCCCUGCUUUUGUGGGGUGCUCGAGUGGCGAACGGGUGAGUAACACGUGAGUAACCUGCCCUUGACUUUGGGAAAACUUCAGGAAACUGGGGCUAAUACCGGAUAGGAGCUCCUGCUGCAUGGUGGGGGUUGGAAAGUUUCGGCGGUUGGGGAUGGACGCGCGGCUUAUCAGCUUGUUGGUGGGGUAGUGGCUUACCAAGGCUUUGACGGGUAGCCGGCCUGAGAGGGUGACCGGCCCCAUUGGGACUGCGAUACGGCCCAGACUCCUACGGGAGGCAGCAGUGGGGAAUAUUGCACAAUGGGCGGAAGCCUGAUGCAGCAACGCCGCGUGCGGGAUGACGGCCUUCGGGUUGUAAACCGCUUUCGCCUGUGACGAAGCGUGAGUGACGGUAAUGGGUAAAGAAGCACCGGCUAACUACGUG
RNAcentral lists this ribosomal RNA (468 nucleotides) under uncultured bacterium. RNAcentral describes it as "partial 16S ribosomal RNA". It matches the Rfam family "Bacterial small subunit ribosomal RNA", at positions 28 to 507 of the family's 1533-position model. The record is from RNAcentral.